UAGGGAAUCUUCGGCAAUGGACGAAAGUCUGACCGAGCAACGCCGCGUGAGUGAAGAAGGUUUUCGGAUCGUAAAACUCUGUUGUUAGAGAAGAACAAGGACGUUAGUAACUGAACGUCCCCUGACGGUAUCUAACCAGAAAGCCACGGCUAACUACGUGCCAGCAGCCGCGGUAAUACGUAGGUGGCAAGCGUUGUCCGGAUUUAUUGGGCGUAAAGCGAGCGCGGCGGUUUCUUAAGUCUGAUGUGAAAGCCCCCGGCUCAACCGGGGAGGGUCAUUGGAAACUGGGAGACUUGAGUGCAGAAGAGGAGAGUGGAAUUCCAUGUGUAGCGGUGAAAUGCGUAGAUAUAUGGAGGAACACCAGUGGCGAAGGCGGCUCUCUGGUCUGUAACUGACGCUGAGGCUCGAAAGCGUGGGGAGCAAACAGG
This 428-nucleotide ribosomal RNA is filed under the name Gemmatimonadota bacterium. RNAcentral describes it as "Gemmatimonadetes bacterium partial 16S ribosomal RNA". It matches the Rfam family "Bacterial small subunit ribosomal RNA", at positions 355 to 776 of the family's 1533-position model. The record is from RNAcentral. Lineage: Bacteria; Pseudomonadati; Gemmatimonadota.